Molecule: long non-coding RNA, 874 nt
Organism: Musa acuminata AAA Group (dessert banana)
Lineage: Eukaryota; Viridiplantae; Streptophyta; Magnoliopsida; Zingiberales; Musaceae
Exons: 2
Source: RefSeq, a predicted model, not a curated record
AACUCUGUUUCACCGAGCAGAGCAGGAGAGAAAGGUUCGAUUUCAGUUUCAAGAUCUGAUCUGCCCCAAUAUGUUUCCGGGCCCCUUACGAUGAGAAGAGGAAGAAAGUUUUCGAUCUUGAAAGAGCAGAGCGUCCCCGAUCUCUCUGGUCGUAGCCUCGCCUCUGCUGGAAGGAAUCAGCCACCGAGCCCCUUUCCCCCGAUCAGAAGCAGGGGCGGUGCAGAGACCCUCUCUUCUUCCUUCUCGGAUGGAAGCAGGAGAGCAGAUCUCCACUGUUCGGCCUCCUUUUUCCCGAUUAGAAUAAAGAAGGAAGAGACAACCCCUCUUCUUAUUCGUGUAAGAGGAAGAAGGAGAGUAGAGAGUGCGACCUUCCUCUUCAUCGUCCAGCGGUGAAGAGCGCCGACCGCUGGAAGAAGCAGCCACCGAUCGCCAACAGCUUUCGUCGACCGGAGACCUCAGGGAGAAGGCCAAAAAGAAGAAGAGGACGCCGAAAGGAAGAUCACCUAAUGUCAUCAACCAUUUAAUUAUGAGUAUGGCCUCAUGAUCAUCAAGAGGGAGGAGGAAGAAAUCUACAAUUAUCUCUUGGUCCUGCAACAACAGUUUCACCUGCGGGCACCUAUGAUCACACUUCAAAAUCCGUCCGUUGGCGACCUUAACGACAAACCUGCUGCAAUUCUCAAUAGGUAAAUUCAUAUAGAAAGCAACCUUACUUUUUAAGAAGUUAUUUUUUAGGAAGUUAUUAGUGCUGCUCGUGUCGAUGAGAACAGUGAUCGGUUGUUGUUUGAGAAGGCUUCCAACUUUCAUCGUUUGUGGGAUUGAGUAGCCAACUAGUGUAUGUAUCGUAACUUUGGUCGGUUGUGGCUCUUCUUCUGCA